UGUGAGCAUGAAACACCAUAUAAAAAAUAAAUUCAUAUUUCAAAUCAAGCCUUCUCAAAUUCAAGUGCACCUAGAUAUCACCAUCUCGACUUCUUCUUCCCCAUGCAGUCCAUCUACCAUUUUUGGAUCCAUGUUUUUUUAUCUUUUAGUUUGUUGUUGCAUCUCAAAAUCCAUAGACUUCUCAAAGGAAGAUUAUGAUAGAUAAUGUAAGUGAAGAAACUAACAUAAAUUAGUGUAUUUUUAUUGAAAAAAAAGAUUAAUAAUACACUAAGCGGUGAAUUCUUA
This 285-nucleotide long non-coding RNA is filed under the name Solanum tuberosum (potato). RNAcentral's name for it is "long non-coding RNA (STUB_LNC010026)". The record is from RNAcentral. Lineage: Eukaryota; Viridiplantae; Streptophyta; Magnoliopsida; Solanales; Solanaceae.